RNAcentral lists this ribosomal RNA (384 nucleotides) under uncultured prokaryote. RNAcentral's name for it is "bacterial SSU rRNA". It matches the Rfam family "Archaeal small subunit ribosomal RNA", at positions 341 to 725 of the family's 1478-position model. The record is from RNAcentral.
GCGAAAACUUUACAAUGCUGGCAACAGCGAUAAGGGAACCUCGAGUGCCAGGUUACAAAUCUGGCUGUCGAGAUGCCUAAAAAGCAUUUCAUAGCAAGGGCCGGGCAAGACCGGUGCCAGCCGCCGCGGUAACACCGGCGGCUCGAGUGGUAACCGUUAUUAUUGGGUCUAAAGGGUCUGUAGCCGGCCGGAUAAGUCUCUUGGGAAAUCCAGCAGCUUAACUGUUGGGCUUUCAGGAGAUACUGUCUGGCUCGAGGCCGGGAGAGGUGAGAGGUACUUCAGGGGUAGGGGUGAAAUCUUGUAAUCCUUGAAGGACCACCAGUGGCGAAGGCGACUCUCUGGACUGUAACUGGCGCUGAGGCUCGAAAGCGUGGGGAGCAAACA